UCUUAUGUAGGAUGAUGCUUCUCUACAGUGGAUGAUGAAGACAUGCUGGUUACAAACCCAGGAGAGGAACAAAAAACCAGAUAUUGACCGGAUCACAUCUAGAGAUGCGGGCCUACUAUACACUUCAUGCGAGCAAGUGUGCUAAUAUACAAUAUUUGGGUUAUCAUUACAGCCCUUUCUUCUGAAAACUAGGCUACAACUGUAUUGAUGAAUGCAGGAGACAUCUACAUGGGACUACGUCUUAAGGAUGCCACCCUCAUAUAAUGAAAGAGGACAGUAGAGAUGGGUUUAAAUUUGAAUAUUUACAUGAUAUUUAUUUAUUAUUUGUAUUAUUAUGUUUGUACAAUACCACAUUCAAUAAAGCUAAUGAAUUUA
RNAcentral lists this long non-coding RNA (375 nucleotides) under Strongylocentrotus purpuratus (purple sea urchin). Its description in RNAcentral is "uncharacterized LOC115923312". Lineage: Eukaryota; Metazoa; Echinodermata; Echinoidea; Camarodonta; Strongylocentrotidae. The record is from RNAcentral.